GUAUAUCCGUAUAUAAGUAUAAUGAUGCAAACGAAAACAUAAUUUGUUGUUCGCAUUACAUGAACAUCUUCACAUUAUAAUUCAGCUAAUCAAAUGCAUUCAAAAAUUCAUGUCCAAACAGAAAGGAACAAAAGCAAAGAGAAACAACUCAGCAUCAGUAAGUGUAACACUAUUUGUAACGAAGCUAAAGAAAGAAUGUUAGCACAAGAAAACUUGUUUCUGUAACCAACAUAUUACACCAAGUACUUGUACAGUGUUGAAAGAUGUUAUCACA
Molecule: long non-coding RNA, 274 nt
Filed under: Olea europaea (common olive)
Lineage: Eukaryota; Viridiplantae; Streptophyta; Magnoliopsida; Lamiales; Oleaceae
Description: long non-coding RNA (OEUR_LNC001332)
Source: RNAcentral